GACCCCAUCUUCACUUUGCCACCAGGGCUGUAUAUGUCUUGAGUGGUUAUUCACGUGGGGGAAAGUAUUUUAUCCUCAAGCACCCCAGUCAAAUUCUUGUUUGACGUGGGGUUGUUCUGAGGAAACAGCA
This 130-nucleotide small nucleolar RNA is filed under the name Mola mola (ocean sunfish). RNAcentral's name for it is "Small nucleolar RNA SNORA27 (ENSMMOG00000002968.1)". It matches the Rfam family "Small nucleolar RNA SNORA27". Rfam says of the family: ACA27 is a member of the H/ACA class of snoRNA that guide the sites of modification of uridines to pseudouridines. The record is from Rfam by way of RNAcentral. Lineage: Eukaryota; Metazoa; Chordata; Actinopteri; Tetraodontiformes; Molidae.